UUAAGGAUGCCAAACCAUUGA
Molecule: non-coding RNA, 21 nt
Filed under: Mus musculus (house mouse)
Lineage: Eukaryota; Metazoa; Chordata; Mammalia; Rodentia; Muridae
Also listed under: 1 other name
Source: RNAcentral